GUGGCUUGAAGGUCUUUUUAAAUUGUUGUUGUUAUGUUUUUAUUUUAUUUUACUUUAUUUUUAAAUAGAGAUGAGGUCUUGCUAUGUUGUCCAGGCUGGUCUCAAACUCCUGGGCUCAAGCAGCUCGCCUGUCUUGGCCUCCCAAAGUGCAGGGAUUGCAGAUGUGAGCCACCAUGCUUGGCCCUUGCUAUAUUUUAAAUAGUUAAAAAUACUGUUUUUGUUUUUUUGUUUUUCCUUGCUGAAUACUUGGGAAAAUUGGUUUGUGUCUGUGGCAAAGGAAUUCAACAAUACUUUCAUUUUCAGGUCAGACUAUUUUAAGAAAAUAGAAGACUAUCAUUUACAGCUGGUAUGGCCCUGUGGUGGUGUGGACCCAGACUUCAAACACAGAUGAAGAUCGAAAACUGAUAUCCCGCAUCUGAUAUCAGGAUGAGUUGCAGAAAAACUCCUCAGACACCGGAUUAAAGAAGGAAGAGGUUUUUUAUUUGUCCGGGAGCGUCGGCAGACUCGCGUCUUAAGAGCCGAGCUCCCCGAAAAAGAAAUUCCUAGCCCUUUUAAGGCCUUACAACUCUAAGGAGUCUACGUGAAAGAGUCAUAAUAGAUCAAACAAAUUAAGAAUUCAGAGCCCAAUCCUAACUUCAAGCCAAGAAGUAAAAAAAGGAAGAAAAAAUCAAGACGCUCAGAACAGAACUCCAGCAAUAUUGAACCCAGGUAAUGAAACUAGAUAUGUGUUGUGUGUCAUGUCACAUUGAGAUCUAUGGUAGGAAAGUUUCUUGUUAGACGGAAGUAAAAUAUGACUAGUAGCAGACUUUUUGGCAAAUUCUCAUUUUAUUUUAAAUAACUCUAUAGGGAAAAAAACAGCUCUAUGGAUUUUAUUUUCUAAGACAAUCAACCAUUUUCAUGUGUGGAAAAGACCCAGGCAUUACUUGACUGUCCUGAAUGUUUUGUGACAACAUAUUAAACAAGCAAAAUUGUUUGUUUGUUUGUUUGUUUGUUUGUUUGUUCUUAGACAGAGCUUCACUGUGUUGCCCAGGCUAGAGGGUAGUGGCGUGAUCAAGGCUCACUGCAGACUCAACCUCCUAGGCUCAAGUAUAUUCUCCUCAGCUUCCAGUAUAUUCUCCUGCAAGAACAUACCACCCCACACCUGGCUAAUUUUAAAAUGUUUUGUAGAGACAGGGUCCCACUAUGUUGUUCAGGCUGGUCUCAAACUCCUGGCCUUAAGUGAUCCUCCUGCCUCAGCCUCCCAAAGUGCUGGGAUUAUAGGCAUGAGCCACCACAUCUAGCCACAAAACUUGUUUAGAGAAAAAAUUGUUAUGAUGAUGUGAAUAAUUGGGUCCACAAUAUUUCCUUUUAGAAAGAAAAUUGGCCAGGCGCGGUGGCUCACGCCUGUAAUCCUAGCACUUUGGAAGGUCGAGGUGGGCAGAUCACCUGAAGUCGGGAGUUCGAGACCAGCCUGACCAACAUGGAGAAACCCCGUCUCUACUCAAAAUACAAAAAAUUAGCCGGGC
Molecule: long non-coding RNA, 1505 nt
Filed under: Homo sapiens (human)
Lineage: Eukaryota; Metazoa; Chordata; Mammalia; Primates; Hominidae
Description: HSALNT0285565
Source: RNAcentral